UGAUACAAGUAUCACCUCCCCAGAGCCCAAAUCAGUUGAUACGAGUAGUAUCACCUCUCCCAUUCCUUCAGACUCCCAAGCACCUGCCCAUCCCACUCCAUAGCCCAGCCACCCACUCUCAUGUACCAUAUGACCAUCCCAGUAAGCAAGCCAACCACUAGAAUUUGACUGGCAUGCACCUGUGACUUACAUAAACCAGACCUCUACAUAGCCUACAUGUCUUCAUUUUGCUGGAGACUGCCCAUCAUCCUAGCCUGUUAUCUGUGAUAAAGCACACUGAAGUUAGGUUUGGAAUGCAUCCUUAUCAUGAAUGCUCUACACCUCCC
Long non-coding RNA from Macrobrachium nipponense, 326 nucleotides. RefSeq lists it as uncharacterized. Lineage: Eukaryota; Metazoa; Arthropoda; Malacostraca; Decapoda; Palaemonidae. The transcript is spliced from 4 exons. The record is from RefSeq and is a predicted model, not a curated record.